UCUGGUUUAGGUGAGUUGGGAAUUCAGUUGCUAGGAGAAAAGGUCUCUUAGUUCUUGUUAAAAAUAAUUUUAGAGCCAAUAUAUAGGCUUUUAAACUAUUUUUGAGUGAAAGCAUUUUUUUUUUUCUAUCUUUACAUUGGAAAGGCCUGGCCUGAACACUUCAAAGGUUUCCUAAAUGCUGGUCACAAAAAAAGACUGAUACCCAAGACAUACUUGAUGGAAGUAGAUUUUGAAGGCUAUGAUUUGACCACUUGCAUGAAUAUCUACAUGACAAUGCAUUAUAUGAUGGGUGCUACCCAAAGAGCAAGUUAUAUUUCAGCUCCACAAUCAACAAAUAGCUCCGAAAACCAAAUAGGCCACACUGUUGGAAGUCAGAGCAAGCGAGGUCAAAUAGAAGCCUCAGCCGGCCAGAUAUAAAGUCUUCUCAUCUUCUUUGUGGAAAUUUCCAGGCUUCACAUUCAUUCAUCAGGAUAUCCUUUUCGCAAGCACUUACCAUUGAAAUUGUUGAGCUGCUACACACUCCAUCUGAAGAUGACACAGCUGGUCCAUGUUGGAUGACCUUUUAUGUCAUAUCUGCAUCCAUGGAUUUCUCUAUUUGCUUUCCUUUGUGAUAUUUUCAGCACCAGGAAGUUUCACUCACCUUGACCAUUGUUUUCACACAUUUGGGCUACAGACAUGAGGUUGUUGUUUCAUUUGAAUCCAAAAAGAUGGACAGGAAGGAAAACAGACAGUAGAGAUAUCAUCCAUUUCCUAACUGAAUCAUAACACUCUAUUUUCAUGACUUUGUCACAUGGCAGAAAAAUGCACGGAAUUCAUUUGAAGAAGCAUAAACAGUGAGGCUGUGACAUGUUCUCUUGUUGAGCAUCCCUAUACUAAACACAAAGACAGCUUGGUUGCAGAGGGGAUUAUUAGCUUCUCUGAUGACACAUUCCCCUAAUA
This is a long non-coding RNA of Canis lupus familiaris (dog), 939 nucleotides long. RefSeq lists it as uncharacterized. The transcript is spliced from 3 exons. NCBI's taxonomy places the organism in Eukaryota, Metazoa, Chordata, Mammalia, Carnivora, Canidae. The record is from RefSeq and is a predicted model, not a curated record.